RNAcentral lists this unclassified non-coding RNA (1382 nucleotides) under Hevea brasiliensis (rubber tree). The record is from RNAcentral. Lineage: Eukaryota; Viridiplantae; Streptophyta; Magnoliopsida; Malpighiales; Euphorbiaceae.
AUUAAACCCUAACCCUAGCUAGCCACUAUUUGCCCCUUUAUAAAACACCGUCCCCCGAUUCCUUCACCUAGUCUCCUUGCACACCUUUUCUGCAACGAUUCUCUUUAUCUAUCUAUCUCAUGCAUUUCAAUUAAGGUUUUUUUUCUUCUAUUUGUGUAAAAAAUUUGUGUUGUUGAAUCCUUUUCCUUUUUUUGCUAGGAUGAUAAAUGUUUUAAUCCCAGCUCAUUAUGAGACCUCUUUCAAGGUCUGGGAAUUGAAUUUAUCCAACAUUUAUCUGAGCUGUUUCUUUCUCUUUCUCUUGUGUUACCAUUGUUGGUUUAUUCUUUGUUGGUUUAUUCUUUGUUGAUUUAUUUCAGAUAUUUGGUUUGGUUUGAAUAGAUCUGGUGAUGGGUAAGGUCCAUAUUUCUGAAUUUCAGGAUCUGUACUAAUUUCAGAACUGUUUAUCGAUGAAAUACAUUUUGUCUUUUUGGUUACAUAUUAGCAUCUGGGUGUGUAAAGAUACAUGAUAAUAUUCACAAUUCUGUCUAUUGUGAUGGCAUUACUGAUCCUAGAGAUACUAUUUUUGGUUCUGUUUUGAAUCUUACAAAAGAAAAUUAAUUUAGCAGUACUGUUCUAGGACACAGCAAUUCUGUUCUUGAAGUUAAAUGUUCUCUUGUUUUCCUGAAUGUAUGAUACGCUAAUUUGUGGUUUAGGGUAGAUUAAGGAUCACGAAACUAAGAUUUUAAGUUUAGUAUGAUUUUGAACAAAAGGUUCCCAAUGAUGCUUCUUAGUGAACCAUGCUAAUGCUGAUCAUUACAUGACUGAAAUUAUUCUCUACUCGCUGAGGGAACCUAGUUUCAUCCUUCUUUUUGUUUAAUUGCAUUUUAUUUUAUGACUUUGAAGGCCUAACUGGCCAUAUUGAACUGGAGGUUUGUUUAUGAGUUUUUUCUUUUACCAAUCAGAGAAAUCACUUGCAAUGGUUAGGUCAUUUUAUGCUCUAACAUGCUAAAUUUGUACUAUUUUGUUUCUCUAAUUUCUGUUCUAUACUCAGUUUGUACUAUAAUGGUAAUAUGGUAUUUGUACAUGAUAGAACUACGCAAACUUUUCUUAGGAAUGAGUGGACUGGCAAGUGGACAUGGGCUAUGACAAUAUGCUUGGCAAUUUUUCUUGUUUAGAUGGAUCAAGAUACGGAUUGUAUAUGGGUUUUAGGAUUCAUGUAUAACAUGGGAUGGAGCUCCCUUUGUUGGUUAUUUUUCUUUUUUAAACUUGUUGAUAAACUUGGAAUAGAAAAAAUUAACAAAAAUGAUAAUUUGUGUUAACAACAAAUCAUCACCAGAUGGAGAGAUUUGUUCGAGUAUUAUUAUGGCUUUAACGAGAAGCAGAAAGGACAUGUGCAUGGUGGG